This 357-nucleotide long non-coding RNA is filed under the name Solanum tuberosum (potato). RNAcentral describes it as "long non-coding RNA (STUB_LNC009203)". The record is from RNAcentral. Lineage: Eukaryota; Viridiplantae; Streptophyta; Magnoliopsida; Solanales; Solanaceae.
ACGGAAAUCCCCAAAUUGACUCAAAUUAACCAAUUUUACUUAAAUUACCCAAUUUUAACCCGAUCCGACCCGACCCGAACCACCAAAUAAUAUAAACCCAUUUUUGUUCAUCUUCAUUUCUGUUAAUCUUCAACUUUAAAAUUAAUUAAAAAAAAGUCCAACAUAAUAACAAAUUAACAAGCAAAAGCUGUAACAGUGCCCAAAAAUACAAUAAUAUCAAACCAAAAAUUAAAAUAAUCAACAACAAAGUGUAAUAGCAUACACAAACUUGAACAACGAAUAUGAAUGAAAAAUUAUUGGAGCUUGAACUCCCUAACCAAAUCUGAAACACAGAGAAUAGAGUGAAAAAUGUAAAAN